RNAcentral lists this ribosomal RNA (201 nucleotides) under uncultured bacterium. Its description in RNAcentral is "partial 16S ribosomal RNA". It matches the Rfam family "Bacterial small subunit ribosomal RNA", at positions 1300 to 1500 of the family's 1533-position model. The record is from RNAcentral.
GCAGGCUGCAACUCGCCUGCAUGAAGUUGGAAUUGCUAGUAAUCGCAGAUCAGCAUGCUGCGGUGAAUACGUUCCCGGGCCUUGUACACACCGCCCGUCGCACCAUGGGAGUCGGUAACACCCGAAGUCGGUAGCCUAACCGUAAGGAGGGCGCCGCCGAAGGUGGGAUUGAUGACUGGGGUGAAGUCGUAACAAGGUAUC